Molecule: ribosomal RNA, 391 nt
Filed under: uncultured bacterium
Lineage: Bacteria
Description: bacterial SSU rRNA
Rfam family: Bacterial small subunit ribosomal RNA
Source: RNAcentral
GACGAACGCUGGCGGCGUGCUUAACACAUGCAAGUCGAGCGGUAAGGCCCUUUCGGGGGUACACGAGCGGCGAACGGGUGAGUAACACGUGGGUGACCUGCCCUCAGCUCUGGGAUAAGCCUGGGAAACCGGGUCUAAUACCGGAUAUGACUCCAUGACGCAUGUUGUGGGGUGGAAAGCCUUGUGCGGCUGAGGAUGGGCCCGCGGCCUAUCAGCUUGUUGGUGGGGUGAUGGCCUACCAAGGCGACGACGGGUAGCCGGCCUGAGAGGGCGACCGGCCACACUGGGACUGAGACACGGCCCAGACUCCUACGGGAGGCAGCAGUGGGGAAUCUUGCGCAAUGGGCGAAAGCCUGACGCAGCGACGCCGCGUGAAGGAUGACGGCCUCGG